This 254-nucleotide ribosomal RNA is filed under the name uncultured bacterium. RNAcentral's name for it is "partial 16S ribosomal RNA". It matches the Rfam family "Bacterial small subunit ribosomal RNA", at positions 524 to 776 of the family's 1533-position model. The record is from RNAcentral.
UACGGGGGGAGCAAGCGUUGUUCGGAUUUACUGGGCGUAAAGGGCGCGUAGGCGGUCAGCACAAGUCAGUUGUGAAAUCUCCGGGCUUAACUCGGAACGGUCAACUGAUACUGUGCGACUAGAGUGCAGAAGGGGCAACUGGAAUUCUCGGUGUAGCGGUGAAAUGCGUAGAUAUCGAGAGGAACACCUGCGGCGAAGGCGGGUUGCUGGGCUGACACUGACGCUGAGGCGCGAAAGCCAGGGGAGCGAACGGG